Molecule: non-coding RNA, 816 nt
Filed under: Rheithrosciurus macrotis (tufted ground squirrel)
Lineage: Eukaryota; Metazoa; Chordata; Mammalia; Rodentia; Sciuridae
Source: RNAcentral
GGCCUUUUUAUUAACUCUUAGUAGACUUACACAUGCAAGCAUCCACGCUCCGGUGAGAAUGCCCUCUAUCUCCUUUUAAAGGAUCAAAAGGAGCAGGUAUUAAGUUCGCUGUAAACAGCUGCUCACAACACCUUGCUACACCACACCCCCACGGGAUACAGCAGUGAUUAAGAUUAAAACAUAAACGAAAGUUUGACUAAGUUAUACUAACAUAGGGUUGGUAAAUUUCGUGCCAGCCACCGCGGUCAUACGAUUAACCCUAGUUAAUAAAGCACGGCGUAAAGCGUGAUUAAGGUGUAUUUCCAAUAAGAUUGAGCCCUAACUAAGCUGUAAAAAGCCCUAGUUAGCAUAAAAGCCUAAAACGAAAGUAAUCUUAUUACCCCUGAAUUCACGAUAGCUAAGACCCAAACUGGGAUUAGAUACCCCACUAUGCUUAGCCCUAAACUCAAAUACUCAAAUAACAAGACUAUUCGCCAGAGAACUACUAGCUACUGCUUAAAACUCAAAGGACUUGGCGGUGCUUUACAUCCCUCUAGAGGAGCCUGUUCUAUAAUCGAUAAACCCCGUUAAACCUCACCACUCCUUGCAACGUCAGCCUAUAUACCGCCAUCUUCAGCAAACCCUAAUAAGGCAUUAAAGUAAGCACAAGUAUCUUACAUAAAAACGUUAGGUCAAGGUGUAGUCUAUGGAGUGGAAAGAAAUGGGCUACAUUUUCUAUCUUCUAGAACACUUCACGAUAGUUGUUAUGAAAUUUAACAAACCUAAGGCGGAUUUAGUAGUAAGUUAGGAAUAGAGUGCCUAGCUGAAUUGGGCAAU